GUUACUUCGGUACAUCGGUGACAGGUGGUGCAUGGUUGUCGUCAGCUCGUGUCGUGAGAUGUUGGUUAAGUCCCGCAACGAGCGCAACCCCUAUUGUUAGUUGCCAUCAUUCAGUUGGGCACUCUAGCGAGACUGCCCGGUAAUAAACCGGAGGAAGGUGGGGAUGACGUCAAAUCAUCAUGCCCCUUAUGACCUGGGCUACACACGUGCUACAAUGGUUGGUACAACGAGUUGCGAGUCGGUGACGGCGAGCUAAUCUCUUAAAGCCAAUCUCAGUUCGGAUUGUAGGCUGCAACUCGCCUACAUGAAGUCGGAAUCGCUAGUAAUCGCGGAUCAGCACGCCGCGGUGAAUACGUUCCCGGGCCUU
This 367-nucleotide ribosomal RNA is filed under the name uncultured Streptococcus sp. RNAcentral describes it as "bacterial SSU rRNA". It matches the Rfam family "Bacterial small subunit ribosomal RNA", at positions 1014 to 1382 of the family's 1533-position model. The record is from RNAcentral. Lineage: Bacteria; Bacillati; Bacillota; Bacilli; Lactobacillales; Streptococcaceae.